Molecule: ribosomal RNA, 164 nt
Filed under: Lilium saluenense
Lineage: Eukaryota; Viridiplantae; Streptophyta; Magnoliopsida; Liliales; Liliaceae
Description: 5.8S ribosomal RNA
Rfam family: 5.8S ribosomal RNA
About the family: 5.8S ribosomal RNA (5.8S rRNA) is a component of the large subunit of the eukaryotic ribosome. It is transcribed by RNA polymerase I as part of the 45S precursor that also contains 18S and 28S rRNA.
Source: RNAcentral
UAUACGACUCUCGGCAACGGAUAUCUCGGCUCUCGCAUCGAUGAAGAACGUAGCGAAAUGCGAUACUUGGUGUGAAUUGCAGAAUCCCGUGAACCAUCGAGUCUUUGAACGCAAGUUGCGCCCGAGGCCUUUCGGUUGAGGGCACGCCUGCGUGGGCGUCACAC